UGAAGACGUUAAGAUGGACCCUAGAGUGGUCCCGAUUGCACAAAGGCUUGGUCCUGACUUUACUGUCAGCUCUUGCUAAAUUUACACAUGCAAGUAUCCGCACCCCCGUGAGAAUGCCCUACAGUUUUCUGUUUGAAGACAAGGAGCCGGUAUCAGGCACAGUCAACGCUAGCCCACGACACCUUGCUUAGCCACACCCCCAAGGGAUUUCAGCAGUGAUAAACAUUAAGCCAUAAGUGCAAGCUUGACUUAAUUAAGGCAAAGAGAGCCGGUAAAACUCGUGCCAGCCACCGCGGUUAUACGAGAGGCUCAAGUUGACAGACACCGGCGUAAAGAGUGGUUAAGGAAAUUUUUAGAUUAAAGCCGAACGCCUACAAGACUGUCAUACGUUCUUCGAAGGUAUGAAGCCCCACCACGAAAGUGGCUUUAUCCCCCCUGACCCCACGAAAGCUGAGAAACA
This 460-nucleotide ribosomal RNA is filed under the name Dascyllus trimaculatus (three spot damselfish). RNAcentral describes it as "partial 12S ribosomal RNA". The record is from RNAcentral. Lineage: Eukaryota; Metazoa; Chordata; Actinopteri; Pomacentridae.